Molecule: non-coding RNA, 30 nt
Filed under: Mus musculus (house mouse)
Lineage: Eukaryota; Metazoa; Chordata; Mammalia; Rodentia; Muridae
Source: RNAcentral
UGAAGCCUGAAGUGAAGUGAUGUUCACCCA